Phalacrocorax carbo (great cormorant) is the source of this 1210-nucleotide non-coding RNA. NCBI's taxonomy places the organism in Eukaryota, Metazoa, Chordata, Aves, Suliformes, Phalacrocoracidae. The record is from RefSeq and is a predicted model, not a curated record.
AGCGGGCCCGGCCCGGCCGGUCUCGGCCACCCCGGUGAGACCUUCGGCCUCUCCCGGCUGCCGGCAGCCAUUCUGUCCCGGCGACGGAGCGUGAGGCACGGCCGCUGCCCGUGGAGGCGGUCGGUCGGUCUAUCGAACCACACAAUGAAGGGGAAGGAUGCGUGCCAUGGUGACUCACAAGGUUUCCUGCCAUGUUCUAUCGCAAGAAUGGAAAAGACGACAAACGGGAAAAGGCAGUGCAGAACAUUAGAGUCGAACGCCGUGACAAACGUGCAGAGUACCUCGGGCUGUAAAGGAAAAUUCUGACACACGUGCCGUUUUAGCAAUGUCCCAGCAUCCUUUCUGAAGACGCAAAUUAACAGGAACUAUCCACAAAGCUAAUUUUUGCCAGAGGUACUGUGCUGCUCUUCAAAUCAUUUAAAGCCAGCUACUACCGUAUCCAAAUCAAAGCAGCUAGUGUUGCAAGUAAUAAGCAGAGGAAUUUCCCAUAGCUGCUGUGGGGGAAAGUAAUUCUCAAAUCCCAAGCUACUGUCUUAACAGCCGAUUUUCAGAUUUAAAAAAAAGUGAAUAUUACAAAUAACACUAAACACAAGACAGGAAAUACUAAGGAAGGUGAAGAGGCCACAUCUAAGCCAAACAUUUUUAGUUUAUGGUAAUUCAUUGAAAACCUAGUCCUUUGACAUGUUAAACUGGCUACACCCUAACCCUUCACUUGUUGCAUGGUAAGAAGUUCCUGAUAAAAUAUUUCUCCUUAGUACUUUAAUUGUGUUCUUGAAGUUUCUGCCACAGCCUCAGACACACUCUUCUGGAGCGCUGCCUCCGUCUCCUUGGCAUCACCCGAACCCACUGGUGGCCACUCCCCACAGGAGUGUUCAGUGGGUGCUCUCUGCAUCUCACAUUGCAUCAGCUGCAUUUGUUUGAACAAUCUCCACGGGCCGUUCAAACCAGCACUGCUGACUUCACCUGCAGCAGAUUAGGAAGCGCUCAUAAACUUUGCUAGGCCAACUGAGCUCUGCAUUUGAAAAGCGGAAAUGCACACAUGUAAAAAAUAUUCAGGGUCAGACUACACAAAAACUUAGUUCGAGGGGAGGUGUUUUAUUGUCUUUAUAUAUAAAUGUAAACACUAAUGUCAAGUACCAACGAAUCACAAGUGUUCUCAUUGAAGCGCAGCGUUGCUAACCUCUGGGGAAGCGGGGGGGGGGGGGGGGGG